This 497-nucleotide ribosomal RNA is filed under the name uncultured bacterium. Its description in RNAcentral is "partial 16S ribosomal RNA". It matches the Rfam family "Bacterial small subunit ribosomal RNA", at positions 28 to 523 of the family's 1533-position model. The record is from RNAcentral.
GAUGAACGCUAGCGGCAGGCCUAAUACAUGCAUGUCGGACGGGAUUUGGGAGCUUGCUCCUAAUGAGAGUGGCGCACGGGUGCGUAACACGUAUGUAACCUACCUUAAUCAGGGGAUAGCCUCUCGAAAGGGAGAUUAACACCGCAUAAUACAUUUUUAUGGACUCGUAGAAAUAUUAAAUAUUUAUAGGAUUAAGUUGGGCAUGCGGAACAUUAGCUAGUUGGUAAGGUAACGGCUUACCAAGGCUACGAUGUUUAGGGGAUCUGAGAGGAUGACCCCCCACACUGGUACUGAGACACGGACCAGACUCCUACGGGAGGCAGCAGUAAGGAAUAUUGGUCAAUGGGCGCAAGCCUGAACCAGCCAUGCCGCGUGCAGGAAGACGGCCCUAUGGGUUGUAAACUGCUUUUGUACCGGAAUAAACCCUUUUACGUGUAAGAGGCUGAAUGUACGGUAAGAAUAAGGAUCGGCUAACUCCGUGCCAGCAGCCGCGGUAA